CAAUAGCGUAUAUUAAAGUUGUUGCAGUUAAAAAGCUCGUAGUUGGAUUUCUGUUCUUGGGAUCUGGUCCGCCUCACGGUGAGCACUGGAUAACUGGGGACAUCCUCUCGAAGGCGGCAAGUGCACUUGAUUGUGUGUUUGUUGAAUUCGGGACCUUUACUUUGAAAAAAUUAGAGUGUUCAAAGCAGGCGUCGGCUUGAAUACAUUAGCAUGGAAUAAUGGAAUAGGACUUUGGUUCUAUUUUGUUGGUUUCUAGGACCGAAGUAAUGAUUAAUAGGGACAGUUGGGGGCAUUAGUAUUUAAUUGUCAGAGGUGAAAUUCUUGGAUUUAUGAAAGACUAACUACUGCGAAAGCAUUUGCCAAGGAUGUUUUCAUUAA
Molecule: ribosomal RNA, 378 nt
Filed under: uncultured eukaryote
Lineage: Eukaryota
Description: partial 18S ribosomal RNA
Rfam family: Eukaryotic small subunit ribosomal RNA
Source: RNAcentral